GACGAACGCUGGCGGCGUGCUUAACACAUGCAAGUCGAACGGAGUGGCGAACGGGUGAGUAACACGUGGGUGACCUUCCCUGCACUCGGGAUAAGCCUGGGACAAUGGGUAUUAUAACGGAUAGUGUGGGAUGGGCCCGGGGCCUAUCAGGUUGUUGGUGGGGUCAUGGCCUACCCAGGCGGCGACGGGUAGCCGGCCUGAGAGGGUGGACGGCCACAUUGGGACUGAGGCACGGCCCAGACUCCUACGGGAGGCAGCAGUGGGGAAUAUUGCACAAUGGGCGGAAGCCUGAUGCAGCGACGCCGCGUGGGGGAUGACGGCGUUCGGGUUGUAAACUCCUUUCACCAUAGACGCGGUAGAUGGAGAAGAAGCACCGGCUAACUACGUGCCAGCAGCCGCGGUAAUUC
Molecule: ribosomal RNA, 407 nt
Filed under: uncultured bacterium
Lineage: Bacteria
Description: partial 16S ribosomal RNA
Rfam family: Bacterial small subunit ribosomal RNA
Source: RNAcentral